GUAAGGAAUAUUGGUCAAUGGGGGCAACCCUGAACCAGCCAUGCCGCGUGAAGGAUGAAGGCGUUAUGCGUUGUAAACUUCUUUUGUAUGGGAAGAAUGACAGGGAUUUAUCCUUGGAGAGACGGUACCAUACGAAUAAGCACCGGCUAACUCCGUGCCAGCAGCCGCGGUAAUACGGAGGGUGCAAGCGUUAUCCGGAAUCACUGGGUUUAAAGGGUACGUAGGCGGUUAAUUAAGUAAGUAGUGAAAGACUGUCGCUCAACGACGGAUGUGCUAUUGAUACUGGUUAACUUGAAUCAGGUUAGAUUUGGCGGAAUGGGUCAUGUAGCGGUGAAAUGCUUAGAUAUGAUACAGAACACCGAUAGCGAAGGCAGCUUGCUGAACCAUUAUUGACGCUGAGGCACGAAAGCGUGGGGAGCGAACAGGAUUAGAAACCCCGGUAGUCC
Molecule: ribosomal RNA, 446 nt
Filed under: uncultured bacterium
Lineage: Bacteria
Description: partial 16S ribosomal RNA
Rfam family: Bacterial small subunit ribosomal RNA
Source: RNAcentral